CCACCUAAAAGAAACCAUUGCACUGCAGUUGUUAGAAUUAAAUUCGUAUUACAACAACUGAAGUUAAAAUUACCCUUUAAAGAAAAUCUUACCCAUUUGCAAUGUUUCAGAGACAAUUCUUUCCCAUUUCUAAUCUAAAAGUUAUCAGUCUAAUGCUGUGUUUGAAUUUCAUUUAAUAUUAAACUCAUGCUUUAGUUAUAAAAUCUCUGAACAUGUCAUUCUAGGGAACCCCAUCUAACUUGAAAAUCAUUGAGUUGUAUUUCUUUUCCGAAGUACUUCAGAAAUUCUACUCAGGAGAAAAUAUUCAAGAAUCCCUAGGAGUCUGUGAAGACAGAACAGUCAUGACAGCCCAUUUUGCAUAAAAUCUUCAAUACAACUACGAAGAAAAUAAUUCCUGCUCAAAAUAGAAAACUAGAACGAUCCAGAAUCUUUCUUAGGGUUUUUAACUAAUGAAUGCACUAAUUGUGGAACUACUUUAGAAAACACAGGAUGACAAUGGUCCCAAGCUUUGCAGCAUCCUUGACCUCUCUGAAGACAUGAUCUACUUGUCGCGUCAGCAUGUCGUGCUUCAGGCGCUCCAGGAGGUUGAUCAUGUCAUCAAAGACAGAGCUCUCCAUGGACGCCAGCUGUCCCAGCUGGAGCUGGCUCACCGUGUCACUUUCUGCACAAACCUCUAGCUCGGCCUGCUGCAGCUGCAAGAAGAACUAGGCAAAAAAA
Long non-coding RNA from Parus major (Great Tit), 717 nucleotides. RefSeq lists it as uncharacterized. The transcript is spliced from 2 exons. NCBI's taxonomy places the organism in Eukaryota, Metazoa, Chordata, Aves, Passeriformes, Paridae. The record is from RefSeq and is a predicted model, not a curated record.